AAGCCCACGGGCCCUUGGGGACGGACGGGCACUGUUCCCCAGAGCAGUGCAAUCAAUGCUGGGAAACUGAAGCUGCGAGUGUCCGAGGGACCCUGGGACGUCUCUGGGGUCUGCGUAGGUACCCAUGGAGGAGCAGAGAUGGCAGAUGAAGGAGGCCGUGGAGGAGAAAAGAACACAGGAAUUCACCAGAAAUUGGCAGGCUGUGGAAUUGACGGAGUCCUCUUACUGUCCAGGCCUAAGGGGUCCAAUAAUCCCAUCCUUUGCCGAACGCUUUACUGUGGGACUGGCAUCAUUUCAAGCAUUUAAUCCUCGUCCCAACUCUACGAGGAAGACAGGGUCUCGCUUUGUCACCCAGGCUGGAGUGCAAUGGUGCAAUCACAGCAUACUGCAGCCUCAACCUCCCAGGCUCAAGCAAUCCUCCCACCUCAGCCUC
Molecule: long non-coding RNA, 433 nt
Filed under: Pongo abelii (Sumatran orangutan)
Lineage: Eukaryota; Metazoa; Chordata; Mammalia; Primates; Hominidae
Description: lincRNA
Source: RNAcentral